Molecule: ribosomal RNA, 429 nt
Filed under: Bacillota bacterium
Lineage: Bacteria; Bacillati; Bacillota
Description: Firmicutes bacterium partial 16S ribosomal RNA
Rfam family: Bacterial small subunit ribosomal RNA
Source: RNAcentral
UAGGGAAUCUUCCACAAUGGACGCAAGUCUGAUGGAGCAACGCCGCGUGAGUGAAGAAGGGUUUCGGAUCGUAAAGCACGGUUGUUGGUGAAGAAGGAUAGAGGUAGUAACUGGCCUCUAUUUGACGGUAAUCAACCAGAAAGUCACGGCUAACUACGUGCCAGCAGCCGCGGUAAUACGUAGGUGGCAAGCGUUGUCCGGAUUUAUUGGGCGUAAAGCGAGCGCAGGCGGAAGAAUAAGUCUGAUGUGAAAGCCCUCGGCUUAACCGAGGAACUGCAUCGGAAACUGUUUUUCUUGAGUGCAGAAGAGGAGAGUGGAAUUCCGUGUGUAGCGGUGGAAUGCGUAGAUAUAUGGAAGAACACCAGUGGCGAGGGCGACUCUCUGGUCUGUAACUGACGCUGAGGCUCGAAAGCAUGGGUAGCGAACAGG